UACGGGGGGUGCAAGCGUUAAUCGGAAUCACUGGGCGUAAAGGGUGCGUAGGCGGUGCAUUAGGUCUGUCGUGAAAUCCCCGGGCUCAACCUGGGAAUGGCGGUGGAAACCGGUGUACUAGAGUAUGGGAGAGGGUGGUGGAAUUCCAGGUGUAGCGGUGAAAUGCGUAGAGAUCUGGAGGAACAUCAGUGGCGAAGGAGGCCUCCUGGCCCAACAAUGACGCUGAGGCACGAAAGCGUGGGGAGCAAACAGG
Molecule: ribosomal RNA, 253 nt
Filed under: uncultured bacterium
Lineage: Bacteria
Description: partial 16S ribosomal RNA
Rfam family: Bacterial small subunit ribosomal RNA
Source: RNAcentral